Molecule: ribosomal RNA, 253 nt
Filed under: uncultured bacterium
Lineage: Bacteria
Description: partial 16S ribosomal RNA
Rfam family: Bacterial small subunit ribosomal RNA
Source: RNAcentral
UACGUAGGGUGUAAGCGUUGUCCGGAAUUAUUGGGCGUAAAGGGCUCGUAGGCGGUCCAUCGCGUCGGGAGUGAAAAGCUGGGGCUUAACCCCAGUCCUGCUUCCGAUACGGGUGGACUAGAGGUAGGUAGGGGAGAACGGAAUUCCUGGUGUAGCGGUGAAAUGCGCAGAUAUCAGGAGGAACACCGGUGGCGAAGGCGGUUCUCUGGGACGGUACUGACGCUGAGACGCGAAAGCGUGGGGAGCGAACAGG